GCCUUUAUAGGUAAAAAGGCGUAAAGGGUGUGUAGGCCGACAAUUCCCCCCCAAGGUGGUAAAUGGAAUUUUUCUGUAACGGUAGAAUGUGUGGAUAGAAAAUAGAACCCCAAAGGCAAAAGCAAUUUACCUCGGGGAAGGGGGGUGAAAAUCUGAUAUUCCCGAUCGGGACCUAUCACUCCACCCCCCCGAGCACAGGCUGAAACACGAGGGUGUGGGUAACAAACAGGAUUAGAGACCCUGGUAGUCCACACUGUAAACGAUGAAGAAAAUGUUAAUGCAACCCCGAAAGGUAGUAAUCUUCCGCCUGAGUAGUACGAUCGCAAGAUUAAAAUUCAAAAAAUUUGGCUGUUCACUGUUUCGAUUAGAGGAGCGUGUAGUUUAAUUCGAUAAACCGCGAGAUACCUUACCCAAACUUGAAUCACCCAUCCGAGAUUGAAUGGUCUCGGGAGGGUAGACCGGUAUUGCAUGGCCGUCGUCAGUUCGUGUAUGAAACCUUUAACGGACCUAACCCGGGGGGUUAGCCGCGGAUGAAGUCAGGUCUUAUGAUCCCUAUGUUUGGGGAUAAUAUGCGCUACAUUUUCUUAUACAAUGGGAAACCUGAAAGGUGAAACCCCAAAGUAGGAGUUCGGUAGGUCAUUGUAAGAUGACCGAAAGUUGAAUUUAAUAGUAAUCGGAAAGUAGAGCGUUCCGGUGAAAUGAUCU
Molecule: ribosomal RNA, 705 nt
Filed under: Epizoanthus vagus
Lineage: Eukaryota; Metazoa; Cnidaria; Anthozoa; Zoantharia; Epizoanthidae
Description: partial 12S ribosomal RNA
Rfam family: Bacterial small subunit ribosomal RNA
Source: RNAcentral